RNAcentral lists this ribosomal RNA (402 nucleotides) under uncultured bacterium. RNAcentral describes it as "bacterial SSU rRNA". It matches the Rfam family "Bacterial small subunit ribosomal RNA", at positions 359 to 776 of the family's 1533-position model. The record is from RNAcentral.
GAAUAUUGCGCAAUGGGCGAAAGCCUGACGCAGCCACGCCGCGUGAGUGAUGAAGGCCCUAGGGUCGUAAAGCUCUAUCGUGAGGGACGAAGUUCUGACGGUACCUCACAAGAAAGCGCCGGCCAACUCCGUGCCAGCAGCCGCGGUAAUACGGAGGGCGCAAGCGUUGCUCGGAAUCACUGGGCGUAAAGCGAACGCAGGUGGUCUGUUAAGUCGGGUGUGAAAUCCCGGGGCUCAACCCCGGAACUGCAUUCGAAACUGGCAGCCUUGAGUACGGGAGAGGGAAGCGGAAUUCCUGGUGUAGAGGUGAAAUUCGUAGAUAUCAGGAGGAACAUCAGUGGCGAAAGCGGCUUCCUGGCCCGAUACUGACGCUCAUGCUCGAAAGCGUGGGGAGCAAACAGG